This is a long non-coding RNA of Ficedula albicollis (Collared flycatcher), 2856 nucleotides long. NCBI's taxonomy places the organism in Eukaryota, Metazoa, Chordata, Aves, Passeriformes, Muscicapidae. The record is from Ensembl.
AUGAACACUCCAAACCCAGAGAGGGACACCCAAACCCAGAGAGGGACACCCCAAACCCAGACAGGGACACCCCAAACCCAAACCAGGACGAAAUGGGGACCCCAGCACAGCCCAUGGUGUUUGUACAGGAUGGGACUGGGAAUGGCUGGGGGGGAAAUGGGGACCCCAGCACAGCCCAUGGUGUUUGUACAGGAUGGGACUGGGAAUGGCUGGGGGGGAAAUGGGGACCCCAGCACAGCCCAUGGUGUUUGUACAGGAUGGGACUGGGAAUGGCUGGGGGGGAAAUGGGGACCCCAGCACAGCCCAUGGUGUUUGUACAGGAUGGGACUGGGAAUGGCUGGGGGGGAAAUGGGGACCCCAGCACAGCCCAUGGUGUUUGUACAGGAUGGGACUGGGAAUGGCUGGGGGGGAAAUGGGGACCCCAGCACAGCCCAUGGUGUUUGUACAGGAUGGGACUGGGAAUGGCUGGGGGGGAAAUGGGGACCCCAGCACAGCCCAUGGUGUUUGUACAGGAUGGGACUGGGAAUGGCUGGGGGGGAAAUGGGGACCCCAGCACAGCCCAUGGUGUUUGUACAGGAUGGGACUGGGAAUGGCUGGGGGGGAAAUGGGGACCCCAGCACAGCCCAUGGUGUUUGUACAGGAUGGGACUGGGAAUGGCUGGGGGGGAAAUGGGGACCCCAGCACAGCCCAUGGUGUUUGUACAGGAUGGGACUGGGAAUGGCUGGGGGGGAAAUGGGGACCCCAGCACAGCCCAUGGUGUUUGUACAGGAUGGGACUGGGAAUGGCUGGGGGGGAAAUGGGGACCCCAGCACAGCCCAUGGUGUUUGUACAGGAUGGGACUGGGAAUGGCUGGGGGGGAAAUGGGGACCCCAGCACAGCCCAUGGUGUUUGUACAGGAUGGGACUGGGAAUGGCUGGGGGGGAAAUGGGGACCCCAGCACAGCCCAUGGUGUUUGUACAGGAUGGGACUGGGAAUGGCUGGGGGGGAAAUGGGGACCCCAGCACAGCCCAUGGUGUUUGUACAGGAUGGGACUGGGAAUGGCUGGGGGGGAAAUGGGGACCCCAGCACAGCCCAUGGUGUUUGUACAGGAUGGGACUGGGAAUGGCUGGGGGGGAAAUGGGGACCCCAGCACAGCCCAUGGUGUUUGUACAGGAUGGGACUGGGAAUGGCUGGGGGGGAAAUGGGGACCCCAGCACAGCCCAUGGUGUUUGUACAGGAUGGGACUGGGAAUGGCUGGGGGGGAAAUGGGGACCCCAGCACAGCCCAUGGUGUUUGUACAGGAUGGGACUGGGAAUGGCUGGGGGGGAAAUGGGGACCCCAGCACAGCCCAUGGUGUUUGUACAGGAUGGGACUGGGAAUGGCUGGGGGGGAAAUGGGGACCCCAGCACAGCCCAUGGUGUUUGUACAGGAUGGGACUGGGAAUGGCUGGGGGGGAAAUGGGGACCCCAGCACAGCCCAUGGUGUUUGUACAGGAUGGGACUGGGAAUGGCUGGGGGGGAAAUGGGGACCCCAGCACAGCCCAUGGUGUUUGUACAGGAUGGGACUGGGAAUGGCUGGGGGGGAAAUGGGGACCCCAGCACAGCCCAUGGUGUUUGUACAGGAUGGGACUGGGAAUGGCUGGGGGGGAAAUGGGGACCCCAGCACAGCCCAUGGUGUUUGUACAGGAUGGGACUGGGAAUGGCUGGGGGGGAAAUGGGGACCCCAGCACAGCCCAUGGUGUUUGUACAGGAUGGGACUGGGAAUGGCUGGGGGGGAAAUGGGGACCCCAGCACAGCCCAUGGUGUUUGUACAGGAUGGGACUGGGAAUGGCUGGGGGGGAAAUGGGGACCCCAGCACAGCCCAUGGUGUUUGUACAGGAUGGGACUGGGAAUGGCUGGGGGGGAAAUGGGGACCCCAGCACAGCCCAUGGUGUUUGUACAGGAUGGGACUGGGAAUGGCUGGGGGGGAAAUGGGGACCCCAGCACAGCCCAUGGUGUUUGUACAGGAUGGGACUGGGAAUGGCUGGGGGGGAAAUGGGGCCCUGGCUCAGCCCAGGGCUGUCCCUGGGGUGCAAGGGGGGAUGAACCCUGGGAAAUGCUGCGUGUGACACCGCAGGGGUGGGAAGUCCCUUCCCAGCCAAAACUGUGGCAUUCUGGGGCAGGGACACCUCCAGAACCCAAUCCCACCUGGGCCUGCUCCUGCCCAGGGGGAUCAGAGUGCCAGGAAAAGGAUGUUCCCGCCCGAAAUCCCGGGAUUCUGGGGCAGGACACCAGAUUCCUGCGCCCAGCUGUGCCCAUCCCUCAGUGCCCAGCCCCGACUCACCGCCCAGCUGUGCUCAGCCCAGACUCACAGCCCAGCCGUGCCCAGCCCAGACUCACAGCCCAGCCGUGCCCAGCCCAGACUCACAGCCCAGCUGUGCCCAGCUGUGCCCAUCCCUCAGUGCCCAGCCCCGACUCACCGUCCAGCUGUGCCCAGCUGUGUCCAGCCGUGCCCAGCCCGGACUCACCGCCCAGCUGUGCCCACCCCAGACUCGCUGUCCAGCCAUGCCCACCUGUGCCCAGCCCCGACUCACCGUCCAGCUGGGGGGGGGGGGGGGGGGGGGGGGGGGGGGGGGGGGGGGGGGGGGGGGGGGGGGAGGUCAUCCCUCAGUGCCCAGCCCCGACUCACCGCCCACCCGUGCCCAGCCCAGACUCACCGCCCAGCCGUGCCCACCCGUGCCCAGCCCGGACUCACCGUCCAGCUGUGCCCGUCGUAGCUGCCCUCCAGGAUGACCUCGGGCCGGCCGCCCACACCGGGGGGGGGGGGGGGGGGGGGGGGGGGGGGGGGGGGGGGGGGGGGGGGGGGGGGGGGGGGGGGGGGGGGGGGGGGGGGGGGGGG